This 209-nucleotide non-coding RNA is filed under the name Dracunculus medinensis (Guinea worm). Its description in RNAcentral is "Eukaryotic small subunit ribosomal RNA". It matches the Rfam family "Eukaryotic small subunit ribosomal RNA", at positions 407 to 575 of the family's 1831-position model. The record is from Rfam by way of RNAcentral. Lineage: Eukaryota; Metazoa; Nematoda; Chromadorea; Rhabditida; Dracunculidae.
GUAUUAGAGUGGACCCACAGCAGGCGCGCAAAUUACCCACUUUCAGCAAGAGGAGGUAGUGACGAAAAAUAACGAGACCGUUCUCAUAGAGGCCGGUUAUCGGAAUGAGUACAAUUUAAACCUGUUAACGAGGACCUAUGAGAGGGCAAGCCUGGUGCCAGCAUCAACCGGCAAUGAAUUUACAAAAAGAGGCAUUUUAUCAGCUUCUU